GUGCCUGCUUUGGCAGCACAUACACUAAAAUUGGAACGAUACAGAGAAAAUUAGCAUGGCAGGAUGACACGCAAAUUCGUGAAGCAUUCCUUAUUUUU
Tupaia belangeri (northern tree shrew) is the source of this 98-nucleotide small nuclear RNA. The record is from Ensembl. NCBI's taxonomy places the organism in Eukaryota, Metazoa, Chordata, Mammalia, Scandentia, Tupaiidae.